AUGCAAGUCGAGCGGAGUUAUUUUGAAAGCUUGCUUUCAAAAUAACUUAGCGGCGGACGGGUGAGUAACACGUAGGCAACCUGCCCCUUAGACUGGGAUAACUACCGGAAACGGUAGCUAAUACCGGAUAAUUUCUUUUUUCUCCUGAAGAAAGAAUGAAAGACGGAGCAAUCUGUCACUGAGGGAUGGGCCUGCGGCGCAUUAGCUAGUUGGUGGGGUAACGGCCCACCAAGGCGACGAUGCGUAGCCGACCUGAGAGGGUGAACGGCCACACUGGGACUGAGACACGGCCCAGACUCCUACGGGAGGCAGCAGUAGGGAAUCUUCCGCAAUGGACGAAAGUCUGACGGAGCAACGCCGCGUGAGUGAUGAAGGUUUUCGGAUCGUAAAGCUCUGUUGCCAGGGAAGAACGUCCGGUAGAGUAACUGCUAUCGGAGUGACGGUACCUGA
Molecule: ribosomal RNA, 450 nt
Filed under: forest soil bacterium 1H2.E3
Lineage: Bacteria
Description: bacterial SSU rRNA
Rfam family: Bacterial small subunit ribosomal RNA
Source: RNAcentral